GGUCAUUUCCACUUGUUGGUUCAUGCAAAACCAGAUCAACCUUAGCAACACUUAGGUUUUCUCGACUCUUCUUCUUCAACUCAUCUUCCUCAAUUCUCUUCAGAUCAUUUCUUCCAUUGUUAUGGAGAUGAGCUUCUUCAUCUCCAGCAUCCCUUCUCAAAUUGGAGGAAAGAGAAGAAACCCCAAUUUUCUUGAUAAAUCCUGAUGUGAAAUCCCUGAAAGUGGUUUUGUGAAGAGACCAGCCAGUUGAAGUUUUGAAGGGAGAGAAGACAAAGAAAUUAGACCAGAUUGAAGUUGUUGACAAACAAAAUGGCAAUCAAGCUCCACAUGCUUGGUUCUAUCAUGGAAGACUGGAUUACGAGCUAUGUGUAUGGCAGUCUGACUGUCUGAAUGGACGGGAACUGCAACGAUGGUGAAAUAGAUAGAUCCUCAAGAGGUCUAAUAAGACAAGUGAGUUCAGUUGUUUCUCGUCUCAUAGAUCUGUACUCGGCUUCUGCCGAAGAAAGUGAAAUCAAGGCUUGUUUUUUCGAUUUCCACGAAAUUGGAGCACCCUCUAGCAAGAUGAAGAAACCAGAAAUCGACUUUCUUGAAUCUGAGCAAGAAGCCUAAUCGGCAUCGUAGAAAGCAGUAAAAGAAAAUGAAGGUGUAGAAGAUAAAAGGGUUCUUUGACCGGGAUCUAAAGAGAGAUAUUUGACAACUCGAAGAGUAGCAGUGAAGUGAGAUACACUUGGAUUCUGCAUAUACUGAGUAAGCUUCAGUACAACAAAGGAGAGAUCCGGCUUGAUAUGGGUAAGGAUCAAGGGGAGCAGUCAAUUUGGGGAAAUAUGAACGAGCAAAUGCCUGUAACAAGUUUAAGGUGAAAGAGUUUAGCUCGAUUUGACUUCCCAAAUAUGUGCUCAAGACUCUCCCAAAGUUCUUUGGCUAUCUUUCAGAAAAGCACUCUAUCCUUGAUUUCUUUAGAUAGUGAGUUUAAUAACCAUGCAGUGAUCAUAUCAUUGCAACACUCCACUGCUCAUAAUCAUUGGAGUUCAGAUUUGGAGCUUUAAGGUGUCCAUUAAUGAACCCCAACUUUUUCUUUGCUGACAAAGAAAUUAUCACAGAUCUCCUCCAGCUUGGAAAAACUUUGUCAUAAAAAAACAAGACUGACAAGGUUCAUUCCAGGGGAGUCUGAAGGAUGGAGAUGAUAGAGGUUGUUGGCAUUUACUGUAGCCACAUUUGUGUUCUGGUUGAUGGUGGUAUUUUCAGUUUGUUCACUCAUAUUGAAUAAUCAAGAAAAAAUGACAGAGGAGAUUGAUUUUGAUGUUUGAAAUGGUGAUUUGGAUCAAGCUUGCUGCUCUGAUACCAUAUUGGAAAAUGAAGAAUGAUAAUUGGGAAAUUUUCUAUGUGUAUUGAAUCUCAACAUUUAUUUACAUGUAUUUAUACAAGCCUAUUCUAGGGACUGAAAAUGCAAUUGUAAAUAAAGUAAAUUAUUAACAAACUACAGCUAUACUAACAAUUGUACUAUCUAAUUUCGUAUUUUAGUACACCUGUACAUUCUAGAAGGAAUUCUCAUUGGUUUCCAUUUAUAUACAAUUGUAUUUCUACGUUU
Molecule: long non-coding RNA, 1588 nt
Organism: Lycium barbarum (goji berry)
Lineage: Eukaryota; Viridiplantae; Streptophyta; Magnoliopsida; Solanales; Solanaceae
Exons: 3
Source: RefSeq, a predicted model, not a curated record